This 253-nucleotide ribosomal RNA is filed under the name uncultured bacterium. Its description in RNAcentral is "partial 16S ribosomal RNA". It matches the Rfam family "Bacterial small subunit ribosomal RNA", at positions 524 to 776 of the family's 1533-position model. The record is from RNAcentral.
UACGUAGGGGGCUAGCGUUGUCCGGAAUCAUUGGGCGUAAAGAGCGUGUAGGCGGUCCGGUAAGUCCGCUGUGAAAGUCGGGGGCUCAACCCUGGGAUGCCGGUGGAUACUGUCGGGCUCGAGUCCGGAAGAGGAGUGUGGAAUUCCUGGUGUAGCGGUGAAAUGCGCAGAUAUCAGGAGGAACACCAAUGGCGAAGGCAGCACUCUGGGACGUGACUGACGCUGAGACGCGAAAGCGUGGGGAGCAAACAGG